AAGAGCCGUUCGAGACUAGGACGUUGAUAGGUUGGAUGUGGAAGCAUAGUGAUAUGUGAAGCUGACCAAUACUAAUUGCUCGUGAGGCUUGACUAU
RNAcentral lists this ribosomal RNA (96 nucleotides) under Acinetobacter baumannii. RNAcentral's name for it is "partial 23S ribosomal RNA". It matches the Rfam family "Bacterial large subunit ribosomal RNA", at positions 2830 to 2925 of the family's 2925-position model. The record is from RNAcentral. Lineage: Bacteria; Pseudomonadati; Pseudomonadota; Gammaproteobacteria; Moraxellales; Moraxellaceae.